AUGGCCUAGUGGUAGAGUCGCUGCCCGGCAAGCAGUAGAUGCAGGUUCAAGUCCCGCU
This is a non-coding RNA of Strongylocentrotus purpuratus (purple sea urchin), 58 nucleotides long. The record is from Rfam. Lineage: Eukaryota; Metazoa; Echinodermata; Echinoidea; Camarodonta; Strongylocentrotidae.